Sebastes umbrosus (honeycomb rockfish) is the source of this 256-nucleotide long non-coding RNA. RefSeq lists it as uncharacterized. The transcript is spliced from 3 exons. Lineage: Eukaryota; Metazoa; Chordata; Actinopteri; Perciformes; Sebastidae. The record is from RefSeq and is a predicted model, not a curated record.
CAAGGUCUUGGUGUCUUAAUGUGGUAGUUUGGAGGGAUUAUAGAUCAUUUGUAUCAAUUCUCAAGAGGUAAAAAAAAGGUUAAAUUUAGCAGCAAAUCUGUGUAACAAAGGGUAUCAACCCCAAAAUUGCUGCACCAACUUAUGAGACAUAAUAGAGCAUGGGAAUGACCAUCAUAUACUGUACUUCUAGCAUACUGUACUAAGUAAGUCCUUAUACACUUUAAAUAUUUAUUUUAAUUAAUUAUUUAAUUAAUCA